Molecule: ribosomal RNA, 425 nt
Filed under: uncultured bacterium
Lineage: Bacteria
Description: partial 16S ribosomal RNA
Rfam family: Bacterial small subunit ribosomal RNA
Source: RNAcentral
GUGGGGAAUAUUGGACAAUGGGCGCAAGCCUGACGCAGCCAUGCCGCGUGAAUGAUGAAGGUCUUAGGAUUGUAAAAUUCUUUCACCGGGGACGAUAAUGACGGUACCCGGAGAAGAAGCUCCGGCUAACUUCGUGCCAGCAGCCGCGGUAAUACGAAGGGGGCUAGCGUUGCUCGGAAUUACUGGGCGUAAAGGGCGCGUAGGCGGACAGCUUAGUCAGAGGUGAAAGCCCAGGGCUCAACCUUGGAAUUGCCUUUGAUACUGGCUGUCUUGAGUUUGGGAGAGGUGAGUGGAACUCCGAGUGUAGAGGUGAAAUUCGUAGAUAUUCGGAAGAACACCAGUGGCGAAGGCGACUCACUGGCCCAAUACUGACGCUGAGGCGCGAAAGCGUGGGGAGCAAACAGGAUUAGAAACCCUAGUAGUCC